CUGAUAUUAUCACUGUGAACGGUGGAUCACUUGGCUCGUACGUCGAUGAAAAACGAGGCGAGACUCGAAAGUUUAUGUGAAUUGCAGCCACGUUGAACAUAGAAAUUUUGAACGCACAUUGCGGUGUUGAGUUGACUCGACGCCGCGUCUGUCUGAGGGUCGUUUUCAUUUUAAAUAUCGUACAAUUGCCCGUUGUUGUUGUUGUUGUUCUUGAAAAGCAGCUAACACAACAACAACUGGGCUUUUAGUCGCUGGCCAAAAAUGUGUUGUUGUGUGUGGGAUCAUCUCUUGCGACUGCUGCCAAUUUUAUGUUGUGUGUGUUCAAUCAAAAGCUGGUGGAUCGUUGAAUGUGUUGUGUUGUUGUUGUGACAAGAAGCCGCCAGCCACAAUACGCUCGCGCGCGUAUGUGCUGCUGUGUUUGCGCUUCUUUUCGCUUUGCGCAUCAUUCAAUCUGCUUUGCAUAUUACUGUUGUUUCUAUCAUCAUCAAUUGUGUGUGCUUAUGUGAUGGAACAAUCAGUUUUGUGUGUAUUUGCAUCCGCAACAUAGAUUUGGAGAGUGUUGUCGACGUUUGCUUUCAGUGCUUCACAUGUUGUGCUGCUGCUGAGUGUGCCGGUGGUGGUUUUUGGUGUAACCUGAAAGUGAAACGCUGCAAACAUGUUCUCUUUUUGGCGUGAAUAGUAGUAGUCAUCAAUGAAAAAACCGAUAUAUGGUGAGCAGCUGAUGAAAAUGUGUGCUUAUUUUGUUGUUGUUGUUUCGUGCAACAAGUUGUUUGUGUGUGUGUGUAUGUUGAUCGUCGUCAACGUUCAGGUGAUGUGUUGUUGCUCAGUUGAUGAUGAUGAUGGCGACCAAACAACAACAACAACAACAACCAAAUUUUUGACGCGCUUGCUUACCAUUGCACGGUUUCAUUGCUGCGUUGUUGCUCUGUAGAACGUUUAUUUUCAUUUCAUCAAGUGUGAUGAUGAAAAUGUGUGGAAAUAAACGUGACAGUGGUAAUGUGCCGUGCUGCUGCUGCUGCUGCGCUGCUGCUGCUAUUGUUUACUUGCUGUUGUUGUGUGUUGUUGUACACACACACCCACACAAUUCUGUGUGCAGUUGUCGUAUGUUUUCGAAAGGGAAUCCGGUUGAUAUUCCGGAACCGAGUAACGGAGACAAAGAGUAGCGCUUUAAUCUUCCGGUUGGCGUUCAACUCAAUCGCGCGGUAACGCAAGCGAACUCGGAAAAUGACCGUCGUGAGUUUCGAAAAGAGUUUUCUUUUCUUUUUAAGGGACGCAUUCCCUGGAACCGGGUUGUCCGGAGAUAGGGAUUCUGGUAUCCAUAAAACGCCGACUCUUUCACGGUGUUCGGAGCGCUCUCGUCGGUACGUGAAAAUCCGAGCGACGCCUGGUAAAUCUCGUACUUGGUCGUACUGAUAUCCGCAGCAGGUCUCCAAGGUGAAUAGCCUCUGGCCGAUAGAAUAAUGUAGGUAAGGGAAGUCGGCAAAACGGAUCCGUAACUUCGGAACAAGGAUUGGCUCUAAGGGCUGGGCCGAUCGGGCUGAGGUUUCAAGCGUGCAGUGUAUGCUUGGCUGAGCUGUGCUGAGGAUUGAUUAGCUUGGUGCCGUUUGUUGACCCAAGCGGCUGUCCAGGUGGUCAUGUCUGAAGCAAAGCUGGCCGACAGACCGGCACGUGCAGAACCUGAGCUGCGCGGCUGUCAGUUUAUUUGUACAGACCGUUUCGGUCGGCAUUCAACAGCCAACUUAGAACUGGCACGGACACAAGGAAUCUGACUGUAUAAUUAAAACAAAGCAUUGCGAUGGCCGAUGAUCGGUGUUGACGCAAUGUGAUUUCUGCCCAGUGCUCUGAAUGUCAAAGUGAAGAAAUUCAACCAAGCGCGGGUAAACGGCGGGAGUAACUAUGACUCUCUUAAGGUAGCCAAAUGCCUCGUCAUCUAAUUAGUGACGCGUAUGAAUGGAUCAACAAGAUUCCUUCUGUCCCUAUCUACUAUCUAGCGAAACCACAGCCAAGGGAACGGGCUUGGCAAAAUCAGCGGGGAAAGAAGACCCUGUUGAGCUUGACUCUAGUCUGACUCUGUGAAGAGACAUGAAAGGUGUAGCAUAGGUGGGAGGCUGCAGCCGGGCACUGCUUGCGCGGUGUCUCUGUGGUCGCCAAUGAAAUACCACUACUUUGAUCGUUUCUUUACUUAUUCGGUAAAGCGAAAAAAUUGUGGCCAAUUUUGCGGUCUCGCCGCUGUUGGUCAUUGUUUUAAUGUUGGAUUGAAGCUUCGUUUGUAGCCGUCGUUUUGUGUCGCCGUUUGACGUGCAUUCGCAGUGGUGUGGGUUUCUUGGCUCGCGCGCGGCUAGUGUCGUCAACAGCGGACGACCGGCGAUUGGUUUGAAGUGAUUCGCUCCGGAAACAGUGUCAGACGGGGAGUUUGACUGGGGCGGUACAUCUGUUAAACGAUAACGCAGGUGUCCUAAGGUAAGCUCAGCGAGGACAGAAACCUCGCCUAGAGUAAACGGGCACAAGCUUACUUGAUUUUGAUUUCCAGUACGAAUAAAAACCGCGAAAGCGUGGCCUAUCGAUCCUUUUGAUUGUGUAGAUUUCACGCAAGAGGUGUCAGAAAAGUUACCACAGGGAUAACUGGCUUGUGGCAGCCAAGCGUCCAUAGCGACGUUGCUUUUUGAUCCUUCGAUGUCGGCUCUUCCUAUCAUUGCGAAGCAGAAUUCGCCAAGCGUUGGAUUGUUCACCCACCAAUAGGGAACGUGAGCUGGGUUUAGACCGUCGUGAGACAGGUUAGUUUUACCCUACUGAUGACAAGUCGUUGCGAUAGUAAUCCUGCUCAGUACGAGAGGAACCGCGGGAUCAGACAUUUGGUUCAUGCGCUCGGCUGAAAGGCCGGUGGCGCGAAGCUAGCAUCUGCAAGAUUAUGACUGAACGCCUCUAAGUCAGAAUCUUUUCUAGUCAUUGGCAACGAUAAGUUGCGUCCGGACUCGAUGCGAGGAAACGACUAGGCUUUGUUGUGCGUCUUUUUUGCUCAGCGAAGCCGUCAUUAUACCACGGUAGCAGGCAGUUGGGAUAGGUUGCGAAAAAGCAAUUUUU
Molecule: ribosomal RNA, 3081 nt
Filed under: Trichinella pseudospiralis
Lineage: Eukaryota; Metazoa; Nematoda; Enoplea; Trichinellida; Trichinellidae
Description: eukaryotic LSU rRNA
Rfam family: Eukaryotic large subunit ribosomal RNA (bases 657-3081)
Source: RNAcentral